UACGGAGGUGGCAAGCGUUACUCGGAUUUACUGGGCGUAAAGGGCACGUAGGCGGCCCAAUAAGCUCUGCCUCAAAUCCCCUCGCUCAACGAGGGAGUGUGGUAGAGGACUGCUGGGCUUGAGGGCUGGAGAGGUGAGCGGAAUUCCCGGUGUAAGGGUGAAAUCUGUAGAGAUCGGGAGGAACACCAGUGGCGAAAGCGGCUCACUGGCCAGCUUCUGACGCUGAGGUGCGAAAGCUAGGGGAGCAAACAGG
This 253-nucleotide ribosomal RNA is filed under the name uncultured bacterium. RNAcentral's name for it is "partial 16S ribosomal RNA". It matches the Rfam family "Bacterial small subunit ribosomal RNA", at positions 524 to 776 of the family's 1533-position model. The record is from RNAcentral.